RNAcentral lists this microRNA (22 nucleotides) under Anolis carolinensis (green anole). RNAcentral describes it as "aca-miR-497-5p". Its record names the gene aca-miR-497-5p. The record is from miRBase by way of RNAcentral. Lineage: Eukaryota; Metazoa; Chordata; Lepidosauria; Squamata; Anolidae.
CAGCAGCACAACAAUGGUUUGU